ACUCUGGACUCUGAAUCCAGCGAUCCGAGUUCAAAUCUCGGUGGGACCUUGUCGUUAGCUGUGCACAAAAGCUGGUCUUUUAUACUGGAGCCGGAAGGCGUUCCAGGAGGCAAACUCCGCCUCAAAGAUAAAGGGAAAGGGGUGUGGAUUCCGUUUGCCCUUUGUUCCAAGUCCUGGGUCAGAGGAGGGAAAGGUUUGGGUCCUGGGAGGGUUCCCCGCAGGGUGCGGGCUGUUGCAACUCCCCACGUCCCUCCUGCUCCCGACUUGCAAUGCGUCCCCGGUGAUGUCACUUGCGCUCUCCUAUCCCCUCCUCAGGGGACCAGGUCCCAAAAACUGGGUUCUCACAGUGGCCUGAUCCACAGGGAAAUUGCCAAAGCAUCCAAUGGGAGUCACCAAGCCUGGAGGGUCCCCGUCCUGAGCGGGCCUCUUGGCCCGUGCAAUGGGAGGGGCCAGAGCCCACAGCCAGUGCCCCAGCGACCCAGGAAGCCCCACCCCGUGACCCUGGGUUUUGGGGUGAGAGGUCUCCGCCACUGAAAUGGCUGCCUCGCCUCGAUCCUAGACCCGGAGAUGCCUUUCACCCAGAACAUCUCAUAAUGGCACCCGUUGUCUUUUUGAUUUUUUUUGCCGAAUUUCUAGCUCCCACGUCUCUAUUGCGGGCUCUUUGUCGCUGUUUCACUAAGCUUUGGAAGCUGAGUCUGGAAAUCUCAUUCUUUGGUCCCAGGAUCUCAGCUGGAAAGAGAAAUCCGCGCAGCGGCCUCUUAAGCUCGCGGACUGGAAGCCCUGGUCCUGAUCCUCCGCAGCCUGGAGGGAGCUCCCGCAGGGCCACAGGGAAGAGGAGGCUGAGCAGCCCAGAGGGAUGAGUGUCAGACGCCGGGCUCCCCCUCGACCGGCCAGGACCCCAGCCCCAAGGAGAAGAGGACGCCUUAGGACCAGACAGAUGCAAAAAUGUUUUCUUCUGAGCAGUAGAACACUUCGGAUGAGGCUCAUGGUGGGCGUUGAGAGCGCGCUAAGAUGUCCCUCCAGGCGCUCAGGACCAUCGCUCUGAUUUUCAUAUUUUGAAAAUAUGAGAAUUUUCAGCAGUUACAAAGGACUGAAAAACACCGAAGUCUUUGAGGCAGUCAGUUUGGAGGAUGUGGGGAGGUGAGGUGUGGGGUGGGAGAGAGGUGCCUUGUUGGCUCCUUGGAGUGGACCGGGAGGAAGGAAAACACACACACACGCUGUUUCCCCUUGCAGGCUGGACUGAAGGGCCUGGGAUGGAAAAUUGCACAGUGAAAGAGGAGCAGGUGCAUUGAAAGUUGCUAUCCCUAGAGAGAAGUGCGGGCGGGGCCAGGACGCUGCCGUCACUGCUGCUGUUCACCACCAGCUUUGCAGCGUGUGAGACCUUCAUAACAGUGUAUAGUGCAUGCAGAUCACUCGUGUUUACAAGCAACUGAUCACAAUUCCUUACAGAUUUCUUUGUUCCUUCCCCACUCCCACUGCUUCACUUGUCUAAACUUAAAGGAAAAAAUAAAACGUUUGUUUUUACA
Callithrix jacchus (white-tufted-ear marmoset) is the source of this 1526-nucleotide long non-coding RNA. RefSeq lists it as uncharacterized. The record is from RefSeq and is a predicted model, not a curated record. NCBI's taxonomy places the organism in Eukaryota, Metazoa, Chordata, Mammalia, Primates, Cebidae.